This 253-nucleotide ribosomal RNA is filed under the name uncultured bacterium. RNAcentral's name for it is "partial 16S ribosomal RNA". It matches the Rfam family "Bacterial small subunit ribosomal RNA", at positions 524 to 776 of the family's 1533-position model. The record is from RNAcentral.
UACAGAGGUGGCAAGCGUUGUUCGGAAUUACUGGGCGUAAAGGGCGCGUAGGCGGCUUGGUCAGUCCCGUGUGAAAUCCCUCGGCUCAACUGAGGAACUGCACGGGAAACUGCCUGGCUUGAGUUCGGGAGAGGGAAGCGGAAUUCCGGGUGUAGCGGUGAAAUGCGUAGAUAUUGGGAGGAACACCGGUGGCGAAGGCGGCAUCCUGGACCGACACUGACACUGAGGAGCGAAAGCCAGGGGAGCAAACGGG